GUUAAAAAGCUCGUAGUUGGAUUUCUGUGGGGACGGAGCGGCCGGCCGCAACUCGCGGUUCGAGCUAGCGCUUUCCCUACAUCCUGCCGCGAACCGUGCUACCAUUAGUUUGGUGGCGCCGGGGAUCGGCUCGUUUGCUUUGAGAAAAAUAGAGUGUUCAAAGCAGGCCACACGCCUUGAAUAAGUUAGCAUGGAAUAAUAAUUAAGGACUUCGGUUCUAUUUUGUUGGUGUUCGGGACUGAAGUAAUGAUUGAUAGGGACAGUUGGGGCGGUCCGUAUUCCAAAGCGAGAGGUGAAAUUCUUAGGCCUUCGGAAGACGAACAGCCGCGAAAGCGUUCCGCAAGGAUGUUCCCUUUGAUCAAGAACGAAAGUUGGGGGAUCGAAGACGAUCAGAUACCGUCGUAGUCUCAACUAUAAACUAUACCAGCUAGGGAUCGGCCAACGUUAUUCUAUACCGACUUGGUCGGCACCUUAUGAAGAAAUCAAAGCAUCUGGGUUCCGGGGGGAGUAUGGUCGCAAAGCUGAAACUUAAAGGA
Molecule: ribosomal RNA, 536 nt
Filed under: uncultured marine eukaryote
Lineage: Eukaryota
Description: bacterial SSU rRNA
Rfam family: Eukaryotic small subunit ribosomal RNA
Source: RNAcentral